CAAUCUGGACUUUUUUUUUACCGUCAUAUCCAUCAAAACGACCAGUAGCCAUCAACCUACUGCAGCGAUCGAUUCGUUUGCUUAUUCUCACGCAUAAGCCAAUACUCAGCUCACUAGCAAAGUGUGUUCUCCGAAGCACCGUCUGUCACUGACUGAACUUCAGGCCACAUUUUGGACAAGAGUGUGGGGUUUUUGUGGCAUGAAUAGAAGUGAGGAGAUAUAUAGCUGAACUCUGUGAUUUUGACUCGAGGUGACAGCUGAAAAGCACCAGAAACCUUUGGAAUUUCAGAUCUAUAUAUUACUAUAAAGGAAGAAAAUAAAGUUC
This is a long non-coding RNA of Neopelma chrysocephalum (saffron-crested tyrant-manakin), 325 nucleotides long. RefSeq lists it as uncharacterized. The transcript has 3 exons. The record is from RefSeq and is a predicted model, not a curated record. NCBI's taxonomy places the organism in Eukaryota, Metazoa, Chordata, Aves, Passeriformes, Pipridae.